UUCCUACGGGACGCAGCAGUGAGGAAUAUUGGUCAAUGGGCUUACGCCUGAACCAGCCAAGUCGCGUGAGGGAAGACUGCCCUAUGGGUUGUAAACCUCUUUUGUCAGGGAGCAACGCCGGCUACGUGUAGCCGGACUGAGAGUACCUGAAGAAAAAGCAUCGGCUAACUCCGUGCCAGCAGCCGCGGUAAUACGGAGGAUGCGAGCGUUAUCCGGAUUUAUUGGGUUUAAAGGGUGCGCAGGCGGGAGAUCAAGUCAGCGGUAAAAUGUCGGGGCUCAACCCCGGCCGGCCGUUGAAACUGGUU
RNAcentral lists this ribosomal RNA (305 nucleotides) under uncultured bacterium. RNAcentral's name for it is "bacterial SSU rRNA". It matches the Rfam family "Bacterial small subunit ribosomal RNA", at positions 336 to 638 of the family's 1533-position model. The record is from RNAcentral.